Molecule: ribosomal RNA, 461 nt
Filed under: uncultured bacterium
Lineage: Bacteria
Description: partial 16S ribosomal RNA
Rfam family: Bacterial small subunit ribosomal RNA
Source: RNAcentral
CUACGGGCCGCUGCAGUCGAGAAUCUUCGGCAAUGGGGGAAACCCUGACCGAGCGACGCCGCGUGCGGGAUGAAGGCCCUCGGGUUGUAAACCGCUGUCGUAGAGGAGGAAGUGCAAGGGGGUUCUCCCCUUUGUUUGACCUAUUCUAGGAGGAAGUACGGGCUAAGUUCGUGCCAGCAGCCGCGGUAAGACGAACCGUACAAACGUUACUCGGAAUUACUGGGCUUAAAGGGUGCGUAGGCUGCGCGGAAAGUUGGGUGUGAAAUCCCUCGGCUCAACCGGGGAAUUGCAUCCAAAACUACCGUGCUCGAGGGAGAUAGAGGUGAGCGGAACUCAAGGUGGAGCGGUGAAAUGCGUUGAUAUCUUGAGGAACACCGGUGGCGAAAGCGGCUCACUGGAUCUCUUCUGACGCUGAGGCACGAAAGCCAAGGUAGCAAACGGGAUUAGAUACCCGUGUAGUC